This 346-nucleotide unclassified non-coding RNA is filed under the name soil metagenome. RNAcentral describes it as "partial contains 5.8S ribosomal RNA, internal transcribed spacer 2, and large subunit ribosomal RNA". The stretch from base 1 to 120 matches the Rfam family "5.8S ribosomal RNA", at positions 35 to 154 of the family's 154-position model. The record is from RNAcentral.
GACGAAGAACGUAGCGAAAUGCGAUAAGUAAUGUGAAUUGCAGAAUUCAGUGAAUCAUCGAAUCUUUGAACGCACAUUGCGCCCGCUGGUAUUCCGGCGGGCAUGCCUGUUCGAGCGUCAUUUCAACCCUCAAGCCCCCGGGUUUGGUGUUGGGGAUCGGCUCUGCCUUCUGGCGGUGCCGCCCCCGAAAUACAUUGGCGGUCUCGCUGCAGCCUCCAUUGCGUAGUAGCUAACACCUCGCAACUGGAACGCGGCGCGGCCAUGCCGUAAAACCCCAACUUCUGAAUGUUGACCUCGGAUCAGGUAGGAAUACCCGCUGAACUUAAGCAUAUCAAUAAGCGGAGGA